ACUCCAUUGGGGAUGCUCUUAGAA
Molecule: microRNA, 24 nt
Filed under: Prunus persica (peach)
Lineage: Eukaryota; Viridiplantae; Streptophyta; Magnoliopsida; Rosales; Rosaceae
Description: microRNA miRNA_91
Source: RNAcentral